AGUGAACGCUGGCGGUAGGCCUAACACAUGCAAGUCGAACGGCAGCACAGUAAGAGCUUGCUCUUACAGGUGGCGAGUGGCGGACGGGUGAGGAAUACAUCGGAAUCUACUUUUUCGUGGGGGAUAACGUAGGGAAACUUACGCUAAUACCGCAUACGACCUACGGGUGAAAGCAGGGGAUCUUCGGACCUUGCGCGAUUGAAUGAGCCGAUGUCGGAUUAGCUAGUCGGCGGGGUAAAGGCCCACCAAGGCGACGAUCCGUAGCUGGUCUGAGAGGAUGAUCAGCCACACUGGAACUGAGACACGGUCCAGACUCCUACGGGAGGCAGCAGUGGGGAAUAUUGGACAAUGGGCGCAAGCCUGAUCCAGCCAUACCGCGUGGGUGAAGAAGGCCUUCGGGUUGUAAAGCCCUUUUGUUGGGAAAGAAAAGCAGCAGGUUAAUACCCCGCUGUUCUGACGGUACCCAAAGAAUAAGCACCGGCUAACUUCGUG
This 492-nucleotide ribosomal RNA is filed under the name uncultured bacterium. RNAcentral describes it as "partial 16S ribosomal RNA". It matches the Rfam family "Bacterial small subunit ribosomal RNA", at positions 29 to 507 of the family's 1533-position model. The record is from RNAcentral.